UACGGGGGGGGCAAGCGUUGUUCGGAAUUAUUGGGCGUAAAGGGUGCGUAGGUGGCGAAGUAAGUCAGACGUGAAAUCCCUCAGCUUAACUGGGGAACUGCGUCUGAGACUGGAUGGCUUGAGUGCAGGAGAGGAACGCGGAAUUCCAGGUGUAGCGGUGAAAUGCGUAGAUAUCUGGAGGAACACCGGUGGCGAAGGCGGCGUUCUGGACUGCUACUGACACUGAGGCACGAAAGCCAGGGGAGCAAACGGG
RNAcentral lists this ribosomal RNA (253 nucleotides) under uncultured bacterium. Its description in RNAcentral is "partial 16S ribosomal RNA". It matches the Rfam family "Bacterial small subunit ribosomal RNA", at positions 524 to 776 of the family's 1533-position model. The record is from RNAcentral.